RNAcentral lists this ribosomal RNA (439 nucleotides) under uncultured bacterium. RNAcentral describes it as "partial 16S ribosomal RNA". It matches the Rfam family "Bacterial small subunit ribosomal RNA", at positions 339 to 795 of the family's 1533-position model. The record is from RNAcentral.
CUACGGGGGGCUCCAGUAGGGAAUCUUAGACAAUGGGGGAAACCCUGAUCUAGCCAUGCCGCGUGAGUGAUGAAGGCCUUAGGGUUGUAAAGCUCCUUCGCUGGGGAAGAUAAUGACGGUACCCAGUAAAGAAACCCCGGCUAACUCCGUGCCAGCAGCCGCGGUAAUACGGAGGGGGUUAGCGUUGUUCGGAAUUACUGGGCGUAAAGCGCGCGUAGGCGGGCUAUUAAGUCAGGGGUGAAAUCCCGGGGCUCAACCCCGGAACUGCCUUUGAUACUGGUAGUCUUGAGUUCGAGAGAGGGGAGUGGAAUUCCGAGUGUAGAGGUGAAAUUCGUAGAUAUUCGGAGGAACAUCAGUGGCGAAGGCGACUCACUGGCUCGAUACUGACGCUGAGGUGCGAAAGUGUGGGGAGCAAACAGGAUUAGAUACCCCCGUAGUC